AUUGAACGCUGGCGGCAUGCCUUACACAUGCAAGUCGAACGGCAGCACGGGGGCAACCCUGGUGGCGAGUGGCGAACGGGUGAGUAAUACAUCGGAAUGUACCCAGUAGUGGGGGAUAACUAGUCGAAAGAUUAGCUAAUACCGCAUACGCACUAUGGUGGAAAGCGGGGGAUCGCAAGACCUCGCGCUAUUGGAGCAGCCGAUGUCCGAUUAGGUAGUUGGUGGGGUAAAAGCCUACCAAGCCUGCGAUCGGUAACUGGUCUGAGAGGACGACCAGUCACACUGGGACUGAGACACGGCCCAGACUCCUACGGGAGGCAGCAGUGGGGAAUUUUGGACAAUGGGGGAAACCCUGAUCCAGCAAUGCCGCGUGUGUGACGAAGGGCCUUCGGGUUGUAAAGCACUUUUAGGCGGGAACGGAAACGGACGGCUUUCUAAUACAGAGCGCUAAUGACGGUACCCGCAGAAUAAGCACCGGCUAACUACGUGCCAGCAGCCGCGGUAA
Molecule: ribosomal RNA, 505 nt
Filed under: uncultured bacterium
Lineage: Bacteria
Description: bacterial SSU rRNA
Rfam family: Bacterial small subunit ribosomal RNA
Source: RNAcentral